Molecule: ribosomal RNA, 498 nt
Filed under: uncultured bacterium
Lineage: Bacteria
Description: partial 16S ribosomal RNA
Rfam family: Bacterial small subunit ribosomal RNA
Source: RNAcentral
GAUGAACGCUGGCGGCGUGCCUAACACAUGCAAGUCGAACGGGGAUCUAGAGGAAAAGGUACUUGUACCUCGGAAUUUAGAUUCUAGUGGCGGACGGGUGAGUAACACGUGAGCAACCUGCCUUGAUCAGGGGGAUAACAACGGGAAACCGUUGCUAAUACCGCAUAAUAUGCCGUUGGGGCAUCCCAGUGGCAUCAAAGGAGUAAUCCGGAUUGAGAUGGGCUCGCGUCCGAUUAGUUAGUUGGUGAGGUAACGGCUCACCAAGACCGCGAUCGGUAGCCGGACUGAGAGGUUGACCGGCCACAUUGGGACUGAGACACGGCCCAGACUCCUACGGGAGGCAGCAGUGGGGAAUAUUGGGCAAUGGGGGAAACCCUGACCCAGCGACGCCGCGUGAAGGAUGAAGGCCUUCGGGUUGUAAACUUCUUUGAUCGGGGACGAUAAUGACGGUACCCGAGGAACAAGCCACGGCUAACUACGUGCCAGCAGCCGCAGUAA